RNAcentral lists this ribosomal RNA (1480 nucleotides) under Lactiplantibacillus plantarum. Its description in RNAcentral is "Lactobacillus plantarum 16S ribosomal RNA". It matches the Rfam family "Bacterial small subunit ribosomal RNA". The record is from RNAcentral. Lineage: Bacteria; Bacillati; Bacillota; Bacilli; Lactobacillales; Lactobacillaceae.
GAACGCUGGCGGCGUGCCUAAUACAUGCAAGUCGAACGAACUCUGGUAUUGAUUGGUGCUUGCAUCAUGAUUUACAUUUGAGUGAGUGGCGAACUGGUGAGUAACACGUGGGAAACCUGCCCAGAAGCGGGGGAUAACACCUGGAAACAGAUGCUAAUACCGCAUAACAACUUGGACCGCAUGGUCCGAGUUUGAAAGAUGGCUUCGGCUAUCACUUUUGGAUGGUCCCGCGGCGUAUUAGCUAGAUGGUGAGGUAACGGCUCACCAUGGCAAUGAUACGUAGCCGACCUGAGAGGGUAAUCGGCCACAUUGGGACUGAGACACGGCCCAAACUCCUACGGGAGGCAGCAGUAGGGAAUCUUCCACAAUGGACGAAAGUCUGAUGGAGCAACGCCGCGUGAGUGAAGAAGGGUUUCGGCUCGUAAAACUCUGUUGUUAAAGAAGAACAUAUCUGAGAGUAACUGUUCAGGUAUUGACGGUAUUUAACCAGAAAGCCACGGCUAACUACGUGCCAGCAGCCGCGGUAAUACGUAGGUGGCAAGCGUUGUCCGGAUUUAUUGGGCGUAAAGCGAGCGCAGGCGGUUUUUUAAGUCUGAUGUGAAAGCCUUCGGCUCAACCGAAGAAGUGCAUCGGAAACUGGGAAACUUGAGUGCAGAAGAGGACAGUGGAACUCCAUGUGUAGCGGUGAAAUGCGUAGAUAUAUGGAAGAACACCAGUGGCGAAGGCGGCUGUCUGGUCUGUAACUGACGCUGAGGCUCGAAAGUAUGGGUAGCAAACAGGAUUAGAUACCCUGGUAGUCCAUACCGUAAACGAUGAAUGCUAAGUGUUGGAGGGUUUCCGCCCUUCAGUGCUGCAGCUAACGCAUUAAGCAUUCCGCCUGGGGAGUACGGCCGCAAGGCUGAAACUCAAAGGAAUUGACGGGGGCCCGCACAAGCGGUGGAGCAUGUGGUUUAAUUCGAAGCUACGCGAAGAACCUUACCAGGUCUUGACAUACUAUGCAAAUCUAAGAGAUUAGACGUUCCCUUCGGGGACAUGGAUACAGGUGGUGCAUGGUUGUCGUCAGCUCGUGUCGUGAGAUGUUGGGUUAAGUCCCGCAACGAGCGCAACCCUUAUUAUCAGUUGCCAGCAUUAAGUUGGGCACUCUGGUGAGACUGCCGGUGACAAACCGGAGGAAGGUGGGGAUGACGUCAAAUCAUCAUGCCCCUUAUGACCUGGGCUACACACGUGCUACAAUGGAUGGUACAACGAGUUGCGAACUCGCGAGAGUAAGCUAAUCUCUUAAAGCCAUUCUCAGUUCGGAUUGUAGGCUGCAACUCGCCUACAUGAAGUCGGAAUCGCUAGUAAUCGCGGAUCAGCAUGCCGCGGUGAAUACGUUCCCGGGCCUUGUACACACCGCCCGUCACACCAUGAGAGUUUGUAACACCCAAAGUCGGUGGGGUAACCUUUUAGGAACCAGCCGCCUAAGGUGGGACAGAUGAUU